UGUCCACCCCGGGUCCCCUCCCCUUUCUGCCGCUGGCGUCUAGGGAGAGAGACGGGCUGUUGUUAACUGAGCCUGAUUUUGGGGCUCAUUUGAAGUCCCCUCUGGCAGAGUGGAGCCCUUGGAGAGGAUGGGUGGUUGCUGACUCGAGACUGGCCUUAUUCAUACGAUGCAUGGUCCUCGGUCUCCUGGUAGCAAGACGUAGGGGCUGCCUCUACAAAGUCUUGGGUUCGAGCUGAUAUCAGUUGCUGUGAAAGCUGUGAUUGUUGUGUGGUGGCAUCUCAUCAUACAUGCAAGUCACCGUGUAUGAACGUGAUUCAGAUCCCCUUAGGAGAGAAUAGUACUUUAGUAGAGGGGAGGGGCUUUAAAGGUAGUGAGCCCAGUUAUUUGUCGUAAACAAAUAACAAUGCAGGAGAAUGACGGUAAUGGUCAUUGUGUGUGCGUGCAUUUGGAGGUUUAAAGCGUAAUUUGAGCCUGAUGGGUCUCAGAAUCUGUUGAUCAUCAAGGUGGAAACUAUGGGAAGUAAUAACAGACAUCAGGUGUAAAGGGUCUGUUUCCCACCAGGAGUCUGCAGUAAGGUAUCUGAAGUAACUGUUGUAACUUUUGUGGACUCAUCAAGGAGGCAGUAUUUGCUAUUCGUGAGCCAAAAUGCUUGGUAGAAGACCCAAGAAAAACCCACAACAGAAGGGUCAGGGAGCUGCUGCUGCAAAGCAGCUGGGACUUUUCCUAGAGUUCAAUCCUGAAGAGAUAAUGCGAGAAAUGGAGGAUGAUGGGGAUGAUGGGGAUCUAGAAGCAGAACUGGCAGCUAUCACAGGAGAGAACACGUCAGCUGGGAAGAUAAAGCCUAAAGGAAAGACUCCUCUGCCUAUGGAUCAUAUUGCAAAGAUGGCUGCAGAUUGUAUGAAGGACUUGGAUGAUGAUGAUGAUGAAGAAGAAGAAGAUGGUGAUGAGCUAGAGGAAGACAAUGAUCUUUUGGCAGAGUUGCAGGAGGUUCUAGGAGAGGGACCAGGAGGAAGCUCUGAACUUGGCACAGAAACGAUAGAUGUGUCUCCUGUGGCCACAGAUCAGCUUCCUGAACCACAGACACAGAUGUCUUCUGCUUCCAGUGAACUACAGCGAACAAUAGAAGAAAGGAUAACUAACUAUAAGAUAGCAAUAAUCAAUGGAAAGAAGGCAGGGGAGAGUGCCAAAGUGCGACGAUAUGAACGAGGCCUUAAGACUUUGGAAAUGAUGCUGACUGCUGUGAAGAAGGGCAAAAAGGUGAAUGAGGAAGAGAUGCCACCACCAGUAGCAUCAGGGAAGAGCUUUGCAGGCAUGCCACAAACCAUGUGUGAUUUGUCUAAACAAAGCUCAGAUGAUCAAGAUAAAGGAACAGUUCCUGAGGAGAAGGAACAGAGGGAACAAAUCUCUGCUGCAGACCAUGAAUUAAAGAACCCCAGCGAUACAGAAUUGCCUAUGAGCAAAACUGCCCUCCAGGGCCAGGAUGCAAAUGGAAGUGCUACAGGAACAAGCAUCACUUUUGAAAACAAUUCCCCAAACUUUUGUAUGAAAGCACUACUUGUGACAAGAGAGAAGGAAUAUAAGUUAGCCGCUCUGAAAGCCAAACAGGAAGGUGAUCUUGAGAAGGCUAAAGAAUAUAUGAGAACUGGUAAGAAAUUUAGCAUGGUUCUAGAAGCAUUGGACAGCGGACAGCCAAUAGAUCUUAAGGAUAUGCCUCCAUCUCCACUUGACCUUGAAAGUCCAGAAAAAAUGUGCAUUCCCCCUAAACCAGUGCCAUCUGCACCUGAGGAAACUUCCCAGCCACUGACAGCACAAGAGCUCCAAAGUAAGGCAGCUUUGGGUUCUGUGCAGCAGCCAAAAACAGUACUAGAAGCUUUGGAGCAGAGGCUGGAAAAAUACAAAACAGCAGCAGCUCAAGCCAAAGCAAGUGGAGCUGACCGAAAAAGCAGGAUGCACGAGAGAAUAGCUAAGCAAUACCAAGAUGCCAUAAGAGCCCAUAAAGCAGGAAGAAAAGUAAAUUUUGCUGAACUACCCGUUCCUCCUGGAUUUCCUCCAAUUCCUGGAGUGGUUUCUGAGGAUGACAAUACAGUGGCUUCAGUGCUGGAAAGUGCAAGUAGGCUGGUUAAAAUGGAGGAGGAAGAGGACAAAGAGGAUGAUAAGGGUGAACUUUCCACACCAGAUCCAGCUUCCAUGAAACCCUCUCAGGUGCCCAAGAAACCAGUACUAGUUGUUCAGCCACUAAUGGUACCAUCUGCUGUAAUUCAGGAAGAAACCUUUCAGGAGAAAGAUAGUUCUCAACCAUCUCCUAUAACAGCACCAGAGAAAUCUGCAUCCAUUGAGCAUCUCGCUCCGGUUGAUAAGGAACAGAUUGAAUUUCUAGAAAGUAGAAAAAAGCAAUACUUAAAGGCUGCAAUCCAAGCAAAGAAGAAGAACAAUCUUGAACAAGCCAAAGUGUAUCUAAGAACAGCCAAAAGCUUUGACCCAAAGAUUGAGCUGGCAAAAAAUGGCAAGUUGGUCGACAUUUCCAAGCUGCCUUCCCCUCCAACAGACGAUGAGGGUGACUUUAUUUUUAUACAUCAUGAAGAUGUCAGACUCUCUCAGAAAGCUGAAGAAGUGUAUAUUCAACUCAUCAAGCUGCUGAAAGACCAGCAUGAGAAAUGUAUGCAGUUUUCCAAACAGUUCAUGCAUCUGGGAAACGUAACUGAAACUUCCCGGUUUGAAAAACUGGCUCAGAAUUGCAAAAAAGAUCUGGACAUCUUACAGCUUGCACAAGCCCAGGGACUGGAUCCUCCAAGCCAUCACUUUGAAGAGAGAACCUUUAAAAUUGUCAGGAUAUUUUCUGAACUCAACAGCACAGAGAUGCAUCUUAUCAUUGUCAGAGGAAUAAAUCUACCAGCUCCACCAGGUGUAACACCAAAUGACUUGGAUGCAUUUGUAAAAUUUGAAUUUCAUUAUCCUAACACAGAGCAAGCUCAGAAAAAUAAAACAUCUGUGAUUAAAAACACGAACUGUCCAGAAUAUAAUCAGCUGUUCAAGUUGAACAUUAACCGAAAUCACAGAGGUUUUCGAAGAGCAAUUCAGGCCAAAGGCAUUAAAUUUGAAAUUUUUCACAAAGGGUCCUUUUUCAGGAGCGACAAGCAAGUUGGAAUUGCACACUUGAAACUGGACAAACUGGAAUCUGAAUGUGAAAUCAGAGAAAUCAUUGAGGUUUUGGAUGGCAGAAAGUCCACUGGAGGAAAACUAGAAGUGAAAGUGCGACUCAGAGAACCACUUAGUGAACAAGAUCUUCAAACAAUUACAGAAAACUGGCUAGUCCUUGAGCACUAAUUCCAUCUAAGGUUAGAGUAUCUGAAUUUUUUACGCCAGUGAAGGCAUAUGUUCAGAAAUGUGAAAAGCUGCAGACUGGACUGAGUACAUAGAGCUUCUACAAGCACCAAAGAUGUUCAAUGAAUGCACUACUGAACAUAACAUCUAUUUUCAUAACUAUCAUAUAGUAUGAGUUGGUAAACUUUGUAAGUCUAUUACCAGGAAGGAAGAAAAGUACUGGAGAUCAUGAGUUGUACCUAGGGUAAAAGCUUGCAGAAAGAAUUGACAGACUAGAUUUUAUCCUACUGUCCCCUUUUCCCAAGAACUGCUGCUUGUUCAAAAAGUCCUCUGAGGGUUGACGAACUCUAGUGAACAAACUGCACCACAGUACAAGGAGCUGCAAGGAGGAUGAAGUACCACUACCUCCUCUUGGAUCUAACCCACUGACAGACUGUCCUGCCUUAAAGCCUUGUUGAGACUAAUAUUGUUGGUACCACAUGAAUGUAACUUAAGGUGUACUUAAUGUUCCCUUAUGCAAAAGAAGGGCAUGUUUUCUAAGGUAAUGUCAUUUUAAUAGAUGGAUAGUAUAUUGAAAAUAUCUUGUGGUCCUUGAAUAAAUUCUGCUCUUGCAAACA
Sphaerodactylus townsendi is the source of this 3938-nucleotide RNA transcript. It is a transcript of the gene named coiled-coil and C2 domain containing 1B, with no coding region annotated. Lineage: Eukaryota; Metazoa; Chordata; Lepidosauria; Squamata; Sphaerodactylidae. The record is from RefSeq and is a predicted model, not a curated record. The transcript is spliced from 25 exons.